This 1214-nucleotide unclassified non-coding RNA is filed under the name Hevea brasiliensis (rubber tree). The record is from RNAcentral. Lineage: Eukaryota; Viridiplantae; Streptophyta; Magnoliopsida; Malpighiales; Euphorbiaceae.
CGAGAUUCACUAACCGUGCACAGCCCUGCCCAAUACAUUUCUAUAAAUUUCCAGUCAUCUUUACUCUCAGGCUCAUCUGAUUCAUUUUCUCAAACCCUCGAAUAGAAAUGGAUCAAUUCAAAGGCCAGCCUCACCUCCCGAAAUUUGCCGUGCCUAAACGCUACGACAUCCGCCUGAAACCCGACCUUUCCGCCUGCACAUUCGCCGGUUCUGUCUCUAUCGACCUCGACAUCGUUACCGAUACCAAAUUUAUUGUCCUAAACGCCGCCGACCUCUCUGUCAACUCCGGCUCCGUUUUCUUCACCUCCUCUAAGGUGUUUGAGCCCGUGAAAGUUGAUUUAGUGGAAGCAGAUGAGAUUCUGGUGCUGGAGUUUGCUGAGACACUUCCAAUUGGGGUGGGAGUUCUCACUAUUCAGUUCGACGGAGUUUUGAACGACAAAAUGAAGGGAUUUUACAAAAGUACUUAUGAGCAUCAAGGUGAGAAGAAGAAUAUGGCAGUUACUCAGUUUGAGCCAGCCGAUGCUAGGAGAUGUUUUCCAUGUUGGGACGAGCCCGCUUGCAAGGCUAAAUUCAAGAUAACUUUGGAUGUGCCAUCUGAAUUGGUGUCACUUUCAAAUAUGCCAGUUGUAGAGGAGAAGGUGGAUGGACCUCUGAAGACUGUUUCGUAUCAGGAAACACCUAUCAUGUCUACUUAUUUGGUAGCUGUGGUCGUUGGUUUGUUUGAUUAUGUUGAAGAUCACACAUCUGACGGGAUCAAAGUUCGAGUGUAUUGUCAAGUUGGAAAGGCAAAUCAAGGGAAUUUUGCAUUGCAUGUGGCUGUGAAGACACUUGAAUUAUAUAAAGAAUAUUUUUCUGUUCAAUAUCCUCUUCCCAAGUUGGAUAUGAUUGCAAUCCCUGACUUUGCUGCUGGGGCAAUGGAGAAUUAUGGCUUAGUUACAUAUCGUGAGACAGCUCUGCUCUUUGACGAUAAGCAUUCUGCUGCAGCUAACAAGCAGAGAGUUGCUACUGUUGUUGCACAUGAGCUGGCACAUCAGUGGUUCGGCAAUCUUGUAACGAUGGAAUGGUGGACGCAUUUAUGGCUUAAUGAGGGUUUUGCAACAUGGGUGAGCUAUCUGGCAGCUGAUAGCUUGUUUCCAGAAUGGAAGAUAUGGACUCAAUUUCUUGAUGAAACUACUGAAGGUCUUAGGCUUGAUGGCCUUGAAGAAUCCCAUCCG